GUCCUUUUGUGGAUUAUCUAAGGUUUGGCCUGCUCCAUGAUAAGUUAAAUAGCCGCAGUAUUUUGACUGUGCAAAGGUAGCAUAAUCAUUAGUUUUUUAAUUGAAAGCUGGAAUGAAGGGUCGGAUGAGAAAGAUUCUGUCUCACUUUAAUUUUAUUUGAAUUUUAUUUUUAAGUCAAAAAGCUUAGAUUUUAUAAAAAGACGAGAAGACCCUGUAGAGUUUAAUAAACUUAAAUUUUGAUUUUUAAUGGAUUUUACAGUAAUUAUAAUUUAGUUUAUUUUGUUGGGGUGACAUAAGAAUUUGACUAACUUCUUAAUAUUUUAACACUGAUUAGUGAUAGUAUGAUCCCAAGAUUUGGAUUUAAAGAAUAAAUUACCUCAGGGAUAACAGCGUAAUUCUUUUGGAGAGCUCUAAUCAAUAAAAGGGAUUGCGACCUCGAUGUUGGAUUAAAGUUAAAUUUCGGUGCAGAGGCUGGGAUUUUGAGUCUGUUCGACUCUUAAAACUUUACAUGAUCUGAGUUUAAACCGGCGUGAGCCAGGUUGGUUUCUAUCUUUUAUAGUUAAAAUAUUUUAGUACGAAAGGACCAGGUAUUUGAAUAAUAUUUUUUUAUUGAAUUAAAUUGUUAUUUUGGCAGAAUAGUGCAAUAGAUUUAGAAUCUUUAUAUGUAAUUAUAUUACAAAUAACAAUUUAUUUUUUUGACUUGACUUUAUUGUUUAUUUCUAUAUUAGUUUUGAUUGUUUGUGUUUUAGUUGGGGUGGCUUUUUUGACUUUACUUGAACGUAAGGUUUU
This 789-nucleotide ribosomal RNA is filed under the name Calospasta viridis. RNAcentral describes it as "partial large subunit ribosomal RNA". The stretch from base 1 to 576 matches the Rfam family "Bacterial large subunit ribosomal RNA", at positions 1828 to 2925 of the family's 2925-position model. Lineage: Eukaryota; Metazoa; Arthropoda; Insecta; Coleoptera; Meloidae. The record is from RNAcentral.